GAUCAUUAUCGUGGGGGUCCUCGGGCCCUUUGCGUGAUGCAACCCUUGCCUUUUUGUUAGCAUCUAUCCGUUUCCUCGGCAGCCUCGCCUGCCAACGAGGACCUUCAGAAAACCCUUUUGUAAUCUCGGUACGAAACUCAGAAAAUGCACAAACGUUUAAAACUUUCAACAAUGGAUCUCUUGGCUCUGGCAUCGAUGAAGAACGCAGCGAAAUGCGAUAAGUAGUGUGAAUUGCAGAAUUCAGUGAAUCAUCGAAUCUUUGAACGCACAUUGCGCCCUUUGGUAUUCCUUAGGGCAUGCCUGUUCGAGCGUCAUUUCAAACCCUCAAGCUCAGCUUGGUGAUGGGCAGUUAGUCUUCCCGCAGCUUAGUUGUUGUGGCGGACUUUGCCUUAAAUUUACGGAGGGGCAAGCAUACCUCCCCCGGCUCAAGACGCAGCAGAUUUGCGUCGCUUGUCCGGGCAGGGAUGGUUACUUUCCCGUCAAGCUAAUAGAACUCAAGUUUGACCUCGGAUCAGGUAGGGAUACCCGCUGAACUUAAGCAUAUCAAUAAGCGGAGGAAAAGAAACCAACAGGGAUUGCCCUAGUAACGGCGAGUGAAGCGGCAACAGCUCAAAUUUGAAAUCUGGCCCUCUCGGGGGCCCGAGUUGUAAUUUGCAGAGGGUGCUUUGGCGUCGGCUGUGGUCUAAGUUCCUUGGAACAGGACGUCGCAGAGGGUGAGAAUCCCGUAUGUGGCCGCCAGCCUUCGCCGUGUAAAGCCCCUUCGACGAGUCGAGUUGUUUGGGAAUGCAGCUCUAAAUGGGAGGUAAAUUUCUUCUAAAGCUAAAUAUCUGCCAGAGACCGAUAGCGCACAAGUAGAGUGAUCGAAAGAUGAAAAGCACUUUGGAAAGAGAGUCAAAAAGCACGUGAAAUUGUUGAAAGGGAAGCGCUUGCAGUUAGACAUGCCUUUAGUUGCUCAGCCGGGCUCUUUGGCCCGGUGCACUCUUCUAUCGGCAGGCCAGCAUCAGUCUGGGCGGUCGGAUAAAGGCCUAUUAAACGUGACUCCCCUCGGGGAG
This 1052-nucleotide ribosomal RNA is filed under the name Dothideomycetes sp. genotype 752 JMUR-2016. Its description in RNAcentral is "eukaryotic LSU rRNA". The stretch from base 502 to 1052 matches the Rfam family "Eukaryotic large subunit ribosomal RNA", at positions 1 to 553 of the family's 3401-position model. The record is from RNAcentral. Lineage: Eukaryota; Fungi; Ascomycota; Dothideomycetes.